GCAUGCAAGUCGAACGAAUGCUAGUUUUGUAGCAAUACCGAGCUAGCGGAAGUGGCGAAAGGGGCAGUAAUGCAUGGGUAACCUACCUUGGGGAUGGGGAUAGCCGUUCUAACGAGCGGGUAAUACCCAGAGAUUCGGCGGAGGGGCAUCCUUCUGCCGGGAAAUGAAUUUCGCCUCGAGAGGGGCCCAUGUGCUAUUAGCUAGUUGGUGAGGUAACGGCCCACCAAGGCUAAGAUGGCUAGCGGGUGUGAGAGCACGACCCGCGCCACUGGCACUGAGACACUGGCCAGACACCUACGGGUGGCUGCAGUCGAGGAUCUUCGUCAAUGGGCGCAAGCCUGAACGAGCGACGCCGCGUGCGCGAUGAAGGCCUUCGGGUUGUAAAGCGCGAAAGUGGAGAGAAAGGGAAACUUGAUCAAUCCACAGUAAGGACGGGCUAAGUUCGUGCCAGCAGCCGCGGUAAGACGAACUGUCCUAACGUUGUUCGGAAUCACUGGGCUUAAAGGGCGCGUAGGCGGUCCGACAAGUCGGGGGUGAAAUCCUGCAGCUUAACUGCAGAAGUGCCUUCGAUACUGUCGGUCUGGAGGG
RNAcentral lists this ribosomal RNA (588 nucleotides) under metal-contaminated soil clone K20-63. Its description in RNAcentral is "bacterial SSU rRNA". It matches the Rfam family "Bacterial small subunit ribosomal RNA", at positions 53 to 648 of the family's 1533-position model. Lineage: Bacteria; Pseudomonadati; Planctomycetota; Planctomycetia; Planctomycetales. The record is from RNAcentral.